UGAGGAAUAUUGGUCAAUGGGCGGGAGCCUGAACCAGCCAAGUCGCGUGAGGGAAGACGGUCCUAUGGAUUGUAAACCUCUUUUGUCGGGGUAGCAAAGAGGCCACGUGUGGUCAAAAGCGUAGAGUACCCGAAGAAAAGCAU
RNAcentral lists this ribosomal RNA (143 nucleotides) under uncultured bacterium. RNAcentral's name for it is "partial 16S ribosomal RNA". It matches the Rfam family "Bacterial small subunit ribosomal RNA", at positions 355 to 493 of the family's 1533-position model. The record is from RNAcentral.